CAUUUUUAUUAUAAAUAUGGCCUAGUGAACAAAAUCCGCAUCCGAAAAAAGACGCAUGUACGUUUCUUUUUGACACACAAAAAUGAAUCAUUUAUCCAAGAUAUAUGUGUGACGUGAUGUCAAUGGCACAACGAAGAUACACAAUAUAAUCGAGGAUUAAAACGAUAUCGAAAUUAAAAUACGUAUUAAACACCGAAGAAAAUCAUGGAUAGAAAGGAAAUAAUGGAGCGCCUCGGGAAAUUACUUCCAAUGUCCAAUUCGGGCACUGUCGAUCUGGUCUGGUCCAUAGCGAUCAUUAUACUCGCGAUCAUAAUAUUUUUCAUUUUGAAAAAAAAUUAGUGGACGUUGCGGGAGGAAGUGCUUCGUUGUCUCUUCUUAAUUACUUAAAAUUGCGGGAAGACCGCUUCGAUUGUGUAUGCGGCGUUGUUCAGAAAAAAUUAUCAGUUUCGUCUUUUGCCCGGAAAAUGGAGCUUUGUUGUCUCUUCUCGUGUACAGCGGACUGAUUGGAGCGCUAAUUGCUCGAGCAAUCGCCCAUGUCGCACGUCGAGCUUAAUUCAAGGGCGAGGAUUCGAGUGACGGUGCUCACCAGAUGACACGAUGACGCAGCUGCACGAGGAGGAGGACGAUCAGCGGCAGCCCGCGCGGCGGCAGCAUCCUGCCAAUCGUCUUCGUUAUCCGGCCGGGAUCGCGUCAGUGUACGACGAGCGCGAUGGAGAACGUCAUCUCGCGGUAUCCUCGCAUCCCCUCGGCAUCCCCGUGACCGGCUCGCUGCCGCCACCGCCGCCGUUCUGCAAUCACAGUCGAAGAGAAGAGCGCCCGCCGCGACCCUUUCCGCCUGCCCGUCGCCACCCUUGACCCCGUAAUACGGCCCUCCACGUGUGUACUCCCACACGCAAUGUAUUCUACGCAAGCACGCACACUCACGGAAUUAUUCCGCACGCGGGACAAACCCUACGUUAACAUCCCCCGCGUCCGGUUUAUGCGGCAGGGAGAGAAGAGUUAAUCCCAGCGGAUAAAAAUUGAGGAAGACCCACGGAAGACUUAUCCCCCCAACUUAUCAUAAAAAUCCUACAUGAUUUUCAUUCUCCGAGGAAACUUAAUUAAAUUUCAUUUUAAUUAAGAAAA
This is a long non-coding RNA of Wasmannia auropunctata (little fire ant), 1125 nucleotides long. RefSeq lists it as uncharacterized. The record is from RefSeq and is a predicted model, not a curated record. The transcript is spliced from 3 exons. Lineage: Eukaryota; Metazoa; Arthropoda; Insecta; Hymenoptera; Formicidae.